ACGGGGGGUGCGAGCGUUGUCCGGAUUCACUGGGCGUAAAGGGCGCGUAGGCGGCUUGAUCAGUCGGACGUAUAAGUGCGGGGCUCACCCCCGUGACGGGUCCGGGACGGUGAAGCUAGGGCGCGGCAGAGGGGUGCGGAAUGCCGGGUGUAGUGGUGAAAUGCGUAGAGAUCCGGCGGAACACCGGUGGUGAAGACGGCACCCUGGGCCGAGGCCGACGCUGAGGCGCGAGAGCGUGGGGAGCGAACCGGAUUAGAUACCCGGGUAGUCCACGCCGUAAACGGUGGGCACUAGGUGUGGCGGGUAUCGACCCCCGCCGUGCCGUCGCGAACGCAUGGAGUGCCCCGCCUGGGGAGUACGGCCGCAAGGCUA
Molecule: ribosomal RNA, 372 nt
Filed under: uncultured bacterium
Lineage: Bacteria
Description: bacterial SSU rRNA
Rfam family: Bacterial small subunit ribosomal RNA
Source: RNAcentral